AUGAACGCUGGCGGCGUGCCUAAUACAUGCAAGUCGAGCGAACAGACGAGGAGCUUGCUCCUCUGACGUUAGCGGCGGACGGGUGAGUAACACGUGGAUAACCUACCUAUAAGACUGGGAUAACUUCGGGAAACCGGAGCUAAUACCGGAUAAUAUAUUGAACCGCAUGGUUCAAUAGUGAAAGACGGUUUUGCUGUCACUUAUAGCUGGAUCCGCGCCGCAUUAGCUAGUUGGUAAGGUAACGGCUUACCAAGGCAACGAUGCGUAGCCGACCUGAGAGGCGGAUCGGCCACAUUGGAACUGAGACACGGUCCAGACUCCUACGGGAGGCAGCAGUAGGGAAUCUUCCGCAAUGGGCGAAAGCAUGACGGAGCAACGCCGCGUGAGUGAUGAAGGUCUUCGGAUCGUAAAACUCUGUUAUUAGUGAAGAACAAAUGUGUAAGUAACUAUGCACGUCUUGACGGUACCUAAUCAGAAAGCCACGGCUAACUACGUG
RNAcentral lists this ribosomal RNA (496 nucleotides) under uncultured bacterium. RNAcentral's name for it is "partial 16S ribosomal RNA". It matches the Rfam family "Bacterial small subunit ribosomal RNA", at positions 29 to 507 of the family's 1533-position model. The record is from RNAcentral.